Molecule: ribosomal RNA, 253 nt
Filed under: uncultured bacterium
Lineage: Bacteria
Description: partial 16S ribosomal RNA
Rfam family: Bacterial small subunit ribosomal RNA
Source: RNAcentral
UACGUAGGUGGCAAGCGUUGUCCGGAAUUAUUGGGCGUAAAGCGCGCGCAGGCGGUCCUUUAAGUCUGAUGUGAAAGCCCACGGCUCAACCGUGGAGGGUCAUUGGAAACUGGGGGACUUGAGUACAGAAGAGAAGAGUGGAAUUCCACGUGUAGCGGUGAAAUGCGUAGAUAUUGGGAGGAACACCAGUGGCGAAGGCGGCUCACUGGACCGGAACUGACGCUGAGGCGCGAAAGCGUGGGGAGCAAACAGG